UACGGAGGGUGCAAACGUUGCUCGGAAUCAUUGGGCGUAAAGCGCACGUAGGCGGCCUGAUAAGUCGGGUGUGAAAGCCCUGGGCUCAACCCAGGAAGUGCACUCGAAACUGUCAGGCUUGAAUAUGGAAGAGGGUCGCGGAAUUCCCGGUGUAGAGGUGAAAUUCGUAGAUAUCGGGAGGAACACCAGUGGCGAAGGCGGCGACCUGGGCCAAUAUUGACGCUGAGGUGCGAAAGCGUGGGGAGCGAACAGG
Molecule: ribosomal RNA, 253 nt
Filed under: uncultured bacterium
Lineage: Bacteria
Description: partial 16S ribosomal RNA
Rfam family: Bacterial small subunit ribosomal RNA
Source: RNAcentral